This 72-nucleotide transfer RNA is filed under the name Podarcis lilfordi (Lilford's wall lizard). Its description in RNAcentral is "tRNA.Pro". The record is from RNAcentral. Lineage: Eukaryota; Metazoa; Chordata; Lepidosauria; Squamata; Lacertidae.
GCCAGUGUGGUGCAGUGGUUAGAAUGUUGGGCUAGGACCUAAGAGAUCAGGGUUCAAAUCCCCACUCAGUCA